AGUACGUGAAAGGUAGGAAUAUGCAUGAAAAACCCUAAAAUAGAUAAAUUACUGAAAUACCUUUAAAAGUGGAAAAUUUAUAGUUUUACCCUUAGGAGAUAAAUUACCGAAAUACCCCUAGGGUUAAAUUGACUUAAAUGCAUGUUUGACUGUUGUUAUUUACUGCAUGCCAUGUUGUUAUUAUCUGAUGCAUGGGAUUGGG
This 202-nucleotide long non-coding RNA is filed under the name Gossypium barbadense (sea-island cotton). Its description in RNAcentral is "long non-coding RNA (GBAR_LNC004998)". The record is from RNAcentral. Lineage: Eukaryota; Viridiplantae; Streptophyta; Magnoliopsida; Malvales; Malvaceae.